Molecule: transfer RNA, 21 nt
Filed under: Spinus crassirostris (thick-billed siskin)
Lineage: Eukaryota; Metazoa; Chordata; Aves; Passeriformes; Fringillidae
Description: partial tRNA-Arg
Source: RNAcentral
AGAAAGUUAGUCUAACUAAGA